GUAUUAAUUGCGUGUGAUCGCAAAAGAAAAACAUUCUACACUGUAUCGAGUUUGUGUGAAAACGUGAGCCCCCGAAAGGGGACCCACGCGGUGGUGCACAUAGGGGUGAGAUGGAUGUUUGAGAACGCUCGGGCGUGCACGACGAAAAAGGUCAGCGACAACCUGAGCACCUCUGUGGUACGAUAAUGAUCCUUCCGCAGGUUCACCUACGGAAA
This 215-nucleotide unclassified non-coding RNA is filed under the name uncultured fungus. Its description in RNAcentral is "sequence contains ITS1". The record is from RNAcentral. Lineage: Eukaryota; Fungi.